UCGAUUCAACGAAGUGCCUGUGAGUUGUGCUGGCCUCUCUCGGGGCAUGUGCACGCUUCAUGGGUCUUCACACAUCCACACCUGUGAACCAAUUGUAGGUCUUUCGGGACCUAUGUCUUCUCAUAACACACUGUAUGUCUAGAAUGUCAUUACGAUUAUCGUCUGCUUCCUCUGUGGAGUUGGGCUGAUAAGAUAAACAAUAUA
Molecule: unclassified non-coding RNA, 204 nt
Filed under: uncultured Serpula
Lineage: Eukaryota; Fungi; Basidiomycota; Agaricomycetes; Boletales; Serpulaceae
Description: sequence contains ITS1
Source: RNAcentral